Molecule: long non-coding RNA, 367 nt
Filed under: Elaeis guineensis (African oil palm)
Lineage: Eukaryota; Viridiplantae; Streptophyta; Magnoliopsida; Arecales; Arecaceae
Description: long non-coding RNA (EGUI_LNC006646)
Source: RNAcentral
GUAAAGAUGAAUCGGGUACGAGAUGCGAGACUCGAAAGAAUGAGAGGCGAUAUCGUAGGAUGAGAUUUCUAUUACCGCAGGAUGAUACCUCGAGCAGAUUUCAGAUCAAGAAGAGCACAACAUAUGACAAAGAUGGGAUUGAGCGGUCUGGCUCGACUUUCAUGUCUGCCCAUCCAUGAUCAGCAGGUGAUUGCCCCAGGAUAUGGAGGCGAGAAGAUCCAGAAGCUCUCAAAGUUAGGAGGAGAUUGAAUGUCGAGUUGAGAUAGAGAUUGUUAGGAUUUGAUAUCUCAAGAUUUGAUUCAUACUGAACUCACAGUAAGGUCCGCGACAACAAAUGGAGUCCAACGGGCCCAAGAUUAGCCCAAAC